Molecule: long non-coding RNA, 1314 nt
Filed under: Takifugu rubripes (torafugu)
Lineage: Eukaryota; Metazoa; Chordata; Actinopteri; Tetraodontiformes; Tetraodontidae
Description: lncRNA (ENSTRUG00000028825.1)
Source: RNAcentral
UAUUUAUCUUUCAUCUGUUUUUACAUUUUAGUGGGUGUUGUCAGCAAGUGAAUGAAUCAAGCUGGGAGCCUUUUCACCAAGAAUACAAUUAAAAGAGACUGAAUAUGGACCGCUUAAACGACACAUUCCAAAGUGGUCUUUCAUCGCAGCACUUUGUCCAAAAUGAAGAACCACUCUACAAGGAGUACAGGCCUCCCCCAAAAGACAUCAUCCAGCUCCCUAAAGCUGUUCUCUACCUCAUCAUGGCUGCUCUGGUCGUUGUUGCUGUUGCUUACGCCAUCGUUGGUCACCUGAUCAAAGAUCUCCUGCUGGAUAUAACAGACUGUUUGCUGGGCCCGCUCGAUGAUGACCUGACAAAAGACAGCAAGGCGCCAGAAGGAGUCAGCCCCCUGAACAUGCCCGCCGCCCUCAACCACUCACACCCAAAUGCCUUCCACGUGUGGGACCAGGACGACAUCAUCAUCCCCAUGACUCCCACAGGCCACAGCCCCCUGACCAGCCCUUUCAUUUCCGUCAUCCCGUACAUCCCUCCCUUCUUUCCCAGCCACCUCAACAUGGGCAGCCCGGCUUACAAUUAUCCCAUCCCAAAGGACAGCGAAGCCUGAGGCCACAUGAAGCUCCAACCGGUGGCCCUGGAUCGAAGCACGGAGUUUUCACCUUUAGGGUGUGAAACACCCCUAAAGAAAAGAACCUGGCAAGUUCCUACAGGACCUGCAAGAACCUAUGAAGGCAUCUGGAUUAUCUCUGCUGCACUUAAUCAAGAAUAAAAGGCCAGUCUGAUGAGAUGUUCCUCAGUGGUUUUCUGCUUGAGGAUCCGAGCCAGGUUGGAAUCAUGGCUGUUGAGGUCCCUGGAGAGGAGCUAAUGAUCACAUGAGACCUAGAAAUGCAGCAAAGUGAAGUCUUUCCUAUAUUCUCCAUCCAUCCACGUUACCUUUCAGGGAAGCUUUCAGUCUUCCAAGGGUUUAACAAGUGUUCCUGAAUUCAGAUUGAAUGUCCCUGUGCAAAAUAAAGAUGGACAUUUGCUGAGAUAAUUCUGGCUCUGGAAUUUUUGAGUUAUACUGAUUCACAAUAUGUUCAGGAGAGUUUGAGGAUUAAACCAAAACAGUAGUUUAGAUUCAGGUUGUACAUAUUUGCAGUAGCAUCGAAUGAAACACACAUUAGACGGGGAACUAGCCUGUUACCUUGGUAGUGCAGGAUCACCAGAUUAACUGUUAUAUGAGUGACACUUGAUGUUAUGAAAUAUAAUUUGCUGCUGCAGAAGAACACAGCGCUCACAUUUGCAGUUACACAACAUUUCAGGGAUACUGGAGGAGA